AUGGCGGCGGCGGCUAAACCUAGCGGCGGCGGCGGCGGCGAGUCAGCAGGCGGCGGAGGGACUGGAGGCGAUGGUGAUGGGUUCUCGGAGGUGGACAACUGGUUCGGAAGCAGUAGCUUGCCGACGCAGCGGGCUCCUUCAUCGGAGCGAUCCCCUUCGCCCCCCUCGCCACCGGAGUGGGACAUUGAGCGUCGUGCGGCGGCUGCCCUAGCACGCAAGAUCAGGGCUUCAGGCGUUGGAGAAGGCCAUCAGUGGGCUUCAGGGUUCGGUGGCGUGUGUUUGGAUGAUGAGAUAUGGGAAAUAAGGUACCAUUUUCAAGGGAGAGACAACUUGGAGAGGACCAUUUCUUUGUCAGAAAUUACUUUUAUGAACAUGUUAGCACUGCUAGAGACUGAAGAGGGACAUACUGAAGCUGACUACAUGUUCUAUAUGAAAGAAGAAGGAAAGGGGGCAGCAGGAAUGCAAGUUAUUGACAGUGAAGAUAGUGUGGAAGAGAUGCUAGACUAUUAUGCUGAGAAGAAGGUUCUCAACAUAACUGUAAUUAAGGCUAAUGAGCCUAAUCCAGGAGAGUUUUAUAGGUCAAAUAUUGUGGAGGAACAAGUGCCUAUAAGUAAUGUGGGGGAUUCCAACAUUAUUUCUAUAGAUGAGGCAGGAGUAUUGUUCCCUAUUGAUGUUGAAGACACAAUUGAAGAGUUGUAUGCUGUGCCUAUUGCUGUUGUAGAGCCAGGUCAAGAGUCUGCAUAUAUUAACACACAACAGAGCAUGAAUUUGAAGAAAGCAAAGGGCAAAGAGAAAGUACAGGAAGAUGUUGGCCCCUCUGAUGAUGAAGUGUUUGUUGAUUUGAACUACUGUGAGGAGGAAGAUGAAAUCAUUGAGGAGGAAGAGCAUGACAUAGGUAAUGAGGAGGAAGAUGAAAUCAUUGAGAAGCUGAAGCAGAAAAGGAAACAAAGAGAGGAUCCUAUGCAUCACUUUGAAGGAGACACAGAAGUGAAAGAGAUGUGUCCAGAGGCAGAGGACUCAGACACAGAACCUGAGACACCUCUUCCUCAAACAUUCAAGAAAGUAGGCAAAGCAGGCCCCACUACAAGAUCACACCAUGAAGCUGACAUUGAGGUAAUUCCUAAUUUCAUUCCAUCUGAUGAUUCUGCUUGUUUCCCUGGGGACUAUGGCAUUAGUGAUUCAGAUGAUGAGUCAGGUCUACCACUCCCUUGUGGAAGGAAGAGUCAAGCCAAGAGGGCCAGGACUAGGAUCUGAAAGGGACAAUGGGUGUCCUUUUUCAUGACUGCAUCCACAAUUGCUCAUGAGAAGACAUUCUGCAUCAAGAAGAUGCAGUUGUUGCACACUUGUGGUGCUCAUGGAGAAAAAACCAAAGUGACAGUUGACUGGAUGGCCAGAACAUGUGAGCAGCAACUGAGAGAUAAUCCAAGGGCUGGUGUUGAUGCAAUUUUAAAAAGAACAAAGACUAAGUAUGGGCUGGAAGUGCCAAAGACCAAGGCCUACAGGGCAAGGUCAUUGGCCAUUGAAGUGGUGGAAGGUGACAUGAAGGGACAAUACACAAGGUUUAGGGAUUAUCUUCAAGCUGUGCUUGAUACCAACCCUGGGAGCAGAUGCAUUGUGACUACCAGAGAGCUUGAGCUCCAUCCUAGCCCAAAUCCUAGGUUCCACUACAUGUUCUACUGUCUGAAUGCUUCAAAAGAAGGUUUAGAUGGUUGCUUUAUCAAGCUUUCUACUGGGCAACAGAUACUUGCAGCCACUGGUAGGGAUGGGAAUAACAACAUAUUCCCUAUUGCAAUUGCUGGCUUCAGAAGUGAGGAGUUGAAGAAGCAUAUGGACAAUGCUGCAUAUUCAUACACCAAGAAUGAUUUUGAGGUUGCAAUGAAUGAACUAAGAAAGGAUGAUAAAGAUGCUUGGAAGUGGCUUUGUGAUAUCCCUAAAGAGACUUGGGCAAGGCUUGGUAUGGAUCACACAUGCAAGACAGACCUAGUAGUCAACAAUCUUAGUGAAGUAUUUAACAAGAUGAUACUAGAUGUGAGGAACAAGCCAAUAAGGAGCUGUGUAGAUGGAUUCAGAACUAAGUUGAUGGUUAAGUACCAAGCAGUUAGAGAGAAGACAAAGAAGAGUCCUGUUAUUUGGCAAGUCACUAGUGGGGAGUCUACCUACUGUGUGAACCUUGAUAAGUGGACCUGUGACUGCAAGAAAUGGGACCUAUGUGGUUGGCCAUGUAACCAUGCAGUUUCUGCCAUUACAAGAGUGAAGGGACAGCCAGAAGACUAUGUGCAUGAGUUCUUCAAAAAACCAUUGUAUAAGGAAACAUACAAGCACAUCAUCUACCCUGUACCAGGGCCUGACUGUUGGCCUAGGACACCAACUGUUGACAUAGAUCCACCAGUGUUCAAAGAGAAGAAGGGCAGGAAGCAAACAGCUAGGAGGAAGGGGCAAUUUGAGGUCCCAACAAAGAAGGAUACAUCAAGGAUGUCAACUAUCACCUGCAGCAACUGCAAUAUGCAGAAACAUAGGUACACCUACUGCCCUCAGCCUCUGAAGCCUCAUCUUCAGGCAAGAAAGGACAAGCACAAGACAACCAAAACUCACUACCAUGGAGCUGGGGGAAGUUCUACUGCUACUGCACAGCCUGCAACCAGUGCACCACCUGCUGCAUCUACUAGGGUUAAAGAACAACUGCUAUUGGUCAUUCCCAGCCUGCUACAUCUACCAGGGGAAGAAAAUCAACUGCUACUGGUCAUUCCCAGCCUGCUACAUCUACCAGGGGAAGAAAAUCAACUGCUACUGGUCAUUCCCAGCCUGCUACAUCUACUAGGGGAAGAAAAUCAACUGCUUCUUCUACUGGCUGCCACAAGAGCUUCAGGUUCAAGCAAUGCAGCCAGCAGGAGAGGUGGAAGGCCCUACAUGGCACCUAGGGCUGCAACUACAAUAGAGGGAGCAAUAGUAGGGUCUAAAAGGAAGAGGUUCCAGAGCACCAGGAUGAGGGGUUACUUUUAUGCCAGUGGCAACUAG
Molecule: ribosomal RNA, 3015 nt
Filed under: Triticum aestivum (bread wheat)
Lineage: Eukaryota; Viridiplantae; Streptophyta; Magnoliopsida; Poales; Poaceae
Description: partial small subunit ribosomal RNA
Source: RNAcentral